Molecule: microRNA, 23 nt
Filed under: Gallus gallus (chicken)
Lineage: Eukaryota; Metazoa; Chordata; Aves; Galliformes; Phasianidae
Description: gga-miR-1667-5p
Source: miRBase by way of RNAcentral
GAGAUUCUGACACAAUGUUUAGA